CGACGAUGCGUAGGGGUUCUGAGAGGAAGGUCCCCCACACUGGUACUGAGACACGGACCAGACUCCUACGGGAGGCAGCAGUGAGGAAUAUUGGUCAAUGGGCGGGAGCCUGAACCAGCCAAGUCGCGUGAGGGAUGACGGCCCUAUGGGUUGUAAACCUCUUUUGCCGGGGAGCAAAGUGCCGCACGUGUGCGGUUUGGAGAGUACCCGGAGAAAAAGCAUCGGCUAACUCCGUGCCAGCAGCCGCGGUAAUACGGAGGAUGCGAGCGUUAUCCGGAUUUAUUGGGUUUAAAGGGUGCGUAGGCGGACGCUUAAGUCAGCGGUAAAAUUGCGGGGCUCAACCUCGUCGAGCCGUUGAAACUGGGUGCCUUGAGUGGGCGAGAAGUACGCGGAAUGCGUGGUGUAGCGGUGAAAUGCAUAGAUAUCACGCAGAACUCCGAUUGCGAAGGCAGCGUACCGGCGCCCAACUGACGCUGAAGCACGAAGGCGUGGGUAUCGAACAGGAUUAGAUACCCUGGUAGUCCACGCAGUAAACGAUGAAUGCUAGUUGUCCGGGGCGAUUGAGUUCUGG
This 571-nucleotide ribosomal RNA is filed under the name uncultured bacterium. RNAcentral describes it as "bacterial SSU rRNA". It matches the Rfam family "Bacterial small subunit ribosomal RNA", at positions 274 to 842 of the family's 1533-position model. The record is from RNAcentral.